GGUAAUAAGCAUUGCUGCCAAAUUUGAACAUCGGCAACUGGCGCUUGAAUACAAAGUGUACAACGGUAGGAAGUGAAUAUCAACCUUCUGAAUAAAAAUGUUAAGCUGCAGUGGGAGCUGUUAAUGCAUUUCCUGCUUCCCAAGAUUCCUCCUGCCAAUGUUUUAUGAUGGCUGAUCUUGAAUAUGACCAUGAGAGUGGGGACACAGACAAUGUGGAUGGUGAGCAACUGCUCAGCAGCGGCCUGCUUGACAUUCGUCUGGAACGUCUCAUCAAUCAGGUUUUGAAGACACCACUUCAGCAGGAUCUCCUGAUGGCGGCCAAAGCCAAGGUCCCAAGAUCGGUAUCUACAAAGGACAUGAUGAGGAUUGUUAAGAACAAAGUGUAUGAAAUGGAUAUGCCUUCAAAAAUAGAGCUGCUGAAGGAUGCCAUCUGCUUAAAGUUACGGGCCGGCCGCGAGUCGAGCAAUUGGCACACGUUCGGGCUGUCCGGCGUCGAUCCUGUGACGUCACCGCGCGGGCGCCGCAAGAUCGGCCUGCGCAUCGAGCACGGCCUGGAC
This is a long non-coding RNA of Pollicipes pollicipes, 557 nucleotides long. RefSeq lists it as uncharacterized. The record is from RefSeq and is a predicted model, not a curated record. NCBI's taxonomy places the organism in Eukaryota, Metazoa, Arthropoda, Thecostraca, Pollicipedomorpha, Pollicipedidae. The transcript is spliced from 5 exons.